GACAGAGGGGGGAAGCGUUGUCCGGAGUUACUGGGCGUAAAGGGCGCGGAGGCGGUCUGCGGCGUCGGCGCUGAAAGCGCCCCGCUUAACGGGGCGAGGCGUGCCGAUACGCGCAGACUUGAGGCGAGCAGAGGGUGGUGGAAUUCCGGGUGGAGCGGUGAAAUGCGUAGAGAUCCGGAGGAACGCCAGUGGGGAAGCCGGCCACCUGGGCUCGUCCUGACGCUGCGGCGCGACAGCGCGGGGAGCAAACCGG
RNAcentral lists this ribosomal RNA (253 nucleotides) under uncultured bacterium. RNAcentral describes it as "partial 16S ribosomal RNA". It matches the Rfam family "Bacterial small subunit ribosomal RNA", at positions 524 to 776 of the family's 1533-position model. The record is from RNAcentral.